This 69-nucleotide transfer RNA is filed under the name Xanthomonas campestris pv. campestris. RNAcentral's name for it is "tRNA-Arg". It matches the Rfam family "tRNA", at positions 17 to 71 of the family's 71-position model. From Rfam's summary of the family: Transfer RNA (tRNA) molecules are approximately 80 nucleotides in length. Their secondary structure includes four short double-helical elements and three loops (D, anti-codon, and T loops). Lineage: Bacteria; Pseudomonadati; Pseudomonadota; Gammaproteobacteria; Lysobacterales; Lysobacteraceae. The record is from RNAcentral.
GGCCGGGGUCACCAGAGCGUCCCCCUCCUAAGGGGAAGGUCGCCCGUUCGAAUCGGGCCGGGGUCACCA